GCCGAUGUAACUCAGGGGUAGAGUAACGCCUUGGUAAGGCGUAAGUCAUGGGUUCAAAUCCCAUCAUCGGCUCCA
RNAcentral lists this transfer RNA (75 nucleotides) under Desulfobacteraceae bacterium IS3. RNAcentral's name for it is "tRNA-Thr". It matches the Rfam family "tRNA". From Rfam's summary of the family: Transfer RNA (tRNA) molecules are approximately 80 nucleotides in length. Their secondary structure includes four short double-helical elements and three loops (D, anti-codon, and T loops). Lineage: Bacteria; Pseudomonadati; Thermodesulfobacteriota; Desulfobacteria; Desulfobacterales; Desulfobacteraceae. The record is from RNAcentral.